Molecule: long non-coding RNA, 452 nt
Organism: Grus americana (Whooping crane)
Lineage: Eukaryota; Metazoa; Chordata; Aves; Gruiformes; Gruidae
Exons: 3
Source: RefSeq, a predicted model, not a curated record
GAUCAGCUGCUCUUGGGGGCUCGGGUGGCCUCUGCACGCAGCCCUGCGGGAAGCUGAGCCUGAGCAGGCAUUUUCCAGAACAAGGCGGCCAGCGUCGGGUACAGAAACCCGCUUUCCAAGUGGGGCAGGCUGGGUUGGAGCCCACGGCAGGGAUCCAGGAGCAGGGACACUUCUGGUUACAGUGCAACGCAGGGUGUGUACCCAGUGUAAAUUAAGUUUACCACACACAGUUCAUCCUAAUCGUCCUGGCUUGAGGCUGUGCUGGUCUGUAGAGAGGGAGAAAUGCAAAGAGAUGGAAAAUCAGCUCUGAAUCUGCCGCUGCAAAAAUCAAUUCCCUGGCUUCUCAUCUUCAGCAGACUUCUUGCCACUGGUGCAAAGCAGUAACAUCUCUUCCUCCUGAUUCCCCUGCCUGCACUUUAGACUGUAACACAACAAUGUUACAAAUCAAUGAA